UAGUUUAGCUCUUAGCUGAAUCAUUAGCAGCCCAGCUUCUUCAUCCCUCUCUCCCACACUUCCCUGCUCAGUUGGUUAAAAGCUAUUCCUUGGCCUUCUUUAAUAAUAAUGAUACGUGCAAUAAAUGUAGCUUGUUUGUAGAUUUGGAGGCCAUGCUCAAUCAGUUGGGAACUUGUUCUGCACCCUUGAAAAUAUUUCAGGUAGCCAGGCCCCUGUAGUCGGUGAGGGGGAAGGUAGCUUAGCAACCAUUAGUUGUCAUCCAGCUGACUGUUCUGUGAAGCCAGGAACUCACACCCAGGAGGCGUAGAUGCCACCAACAUCUGUGGUUCAUCUUUUUUUAAAUUGGCAGAUGUGACAAACUACAGUCUUGGAACCACAGACGGUACAACAGGACUCUCCAUCAGACCGUACCAACCAACCACUAGACCACACAACAAGUCGGUAGGUUCCAUUCAUAUCCUUUAUCUGCCUCUCCACCUGUGUCUC
This 486-nucleotide long non-coding RNA is filed under the name Oreochromis niloticus (Nile tilapia). RNAcentral's name for it is "lncRNA (ENSONIG00000039967.1)". The record is from RNAcentral. Lineage: Eukaryota; Metazoa; Chordata; Actinopteri; Cichliformes; Cichlidae.